RNAcentral lists this unclassified non-coding RNA (203 nucleotides) under Hevea brasiliensis (rubber tree). Lineage: Eukaryota; Viridiplantae; Streptophyta; Magnoliopsida; Malpighiales; Euphorbiaceae. The record is from RNAcentral.
UUCUCCCAGUGAAAUAGAUGUUUCGCAAGAGUAUCAUUGGGCAUGUACUCUGCCACCAGCAACCUCUCGUCCCCAUCGCAGCAGUACCCUAUCAAAUUAGCUAGUCUCUUGUGCUUCAACUUCCCAACACCCAAUGCCUCAUCUGCGAAUUGUUUGGGAUCGGGCCAGGCAAGUUUCGUGAAUUUCUUGACAGCGAUCCAAGU